RNAcentral lists this ribosomal RNA (704 nucleotides) under uncultured Clostridium sp. Its description in RNAcentral is "bacterial SSU rRNA". It matches the Rfam family "Bacterial small subunit ribosomal RNA", at positions 52 to 758 of the family's 1533-position model. The record is from RNAcentral. Lineage: Bacteria; Bacillati; Bacillota; Clostridia; Eubacteriales; Clostridiaceae.
CACAUGCAAGUCGAGCGAUGAAAGUUGUUCAGAUCCUUCGGGUGACGAACUUCCGGAUUAGCGGCGAACGGGUGAGUAACGCGUGAGGAACCUGCCUCUCACAACGGGAUAGCCUCGGGAAACCGGGAUUAAUACCGUAUGACACUAUCAGAUGGCAUCAUCAGGUAGUUAAAGUGCUAGCGGUGAGAGAUGGCCUCGCGUCUGAUUAGUUAGUUGGUGGGGUAACGGCCUACCAAGACGACGAUCAGUAACCGGCCUGAGAGGGUGAACGGUCACAUUGGAACUGAGACACGGUCCAAACUCCUACGGGAGGCAGCAGUGGGGAAUCUUGCACAAUGGGGGAAACCCUGAUGCAGCGACGCCGCGUGAGCGAUGAAGGUUUUCGAAUCGUAAAGCUCUGUCCUAUGGGAAGAUAAUGACGGUACCAUAGGAGGAAGCCCCGGCUAACUACGUGCCAGCAGCCGCGGUAAUACGUAGGGGGCGAGCGUUGUCCGGAAUUACUGGGCGUAAAGGGUUCGCAGGCGGCAUGACAAGUCCGAUGUAAAAGGCGAAAGCUCAACUUUCGUAAGCAUCGGAAACUGUCAAGCUUGAGUGAAGGAGAGGCAAGUGGAAUUCCUAGUGUAGCGGUGGAAUGCGUAGAUAUUAGGAGGAAUACCGGUGGCGAAGGCGACUUGCUGGACUUCAACUGACGCUGAGGAACGAAA